AGUUUGAUCAUGGCUCAGAUUGAACGCUGGCGGCAGGCCUAACACAUGCAAGUCGAGCGGAUGAAGGGAGCUUGCUCCUGGAUUCAGCGGCGGACGGGUGAGUAAUGCCUAGGAAUCUGCCUGGUAGUGGGGGAUAACGUCCGGAAACGGGCGCUAAUACCGCAUACGUCCUGAGGGAGAAAGUGGGGGAUCUUCGGACCUCACGCUAUCAGAUGAGCCUAGGUCGGAUUAGCUAGUUGGUGGGGUAAAGGCCUACCAAGGCGACGAUCCGUAACUGGUCUGAGAGGAUGAUCAGUCACACUGGAACUGAGACACGGUCCAGACUCCUACGGGAGGCAGCAGUGGGGAAUAUUGGACAAUGGGCGAAAGCCUGAUCCAGCCAUGCCGCGUGUGUGAAGAAGGUCUUCGGAUUGUAAAGCACUUUAAGUUGGGAGGAAGGGCAGUAAGUU
This 449-nucleotide ribosomal RNA is filed under the name Pseudomonas aeruginosa. RNAcentral's name for it is "bacterial SSU rRNA". It matches the Rfam family "Bacterial small subunit ribosomal RNA", at positions 10 to 461 of the family's 1533-position model. Lineage: Bacteria; Pseudomonadati; Pseudomonadota; Gammaproteobacteria; Pseudomonadales; Pseudomonadaceae. The record is from RNAcentral.